GGGAGGGAGAAACAAAGCCUCUCUCUCUGUCUGUGUGAUGCUUUUGCUGGGGACAGAACAGGAUUGGAGUCUUAGAAUUCAGCUUCCACACACCAUCAGUUCCUUGUUAGCGUGCCAUGCACCGUGAGAUAUCUCUUCUCUUUGUGUGUGACUGUGAGUGUUUCCCUUGUGUGUGAAUUUAUUCAAUACAAUCUUGAGCUUCAUAAUGGAUACCAUGAGUGAAAAGAAAAAGGGAAAAAUAGAAUCAGAGCACAGAGUUUUCAACAAUGAAUGGACGAAUAAAUACUUAUGUACAGUUUCCAAAGACAAAUACUGUGCCUUGUGUGUCGCGAAACACUAGCCGUUCCGAAAGAAUACAACCUUCGGUGGCACUUUGAAACUAAACAUCCCAAUCUCACCAAAUUGAACCCAAAUGAAAAAAUAAUUAAAGCAGCCAGUUUAGCGAAAAACCUUAGUGGAGAACAGCAAAUUUUCAAGAAAGUGAGCACAGAGAGCGAUUCGGUUAGGAAAGUAAGCUUUCAUAUUUCUAAGGAAAUUGCUGGUGGUGGGAAAUACUUCACAGGAGGCGAGUUUUUAAAAAAGUGUAUGUUGAUUGCUGUAUCUGAGUUAUGUCCAGAAAAGAGGGGAAUAUUUGAGAAUGUCAGUCUAUCACGCAUGACUGUACAGAGAAGAAUAGCUGACUUUUCUACCAAUCUAAGCGAUCAGUUAAAGCAGAGAGUCAGUGAAUUCUGCUUUUACUCCCUAGCUGUGGAUGAAAGCACCGAUUUAAAAGACACAGCCCAACUUCUUAUUUUUAUUAGUGGUAUUGAUAAAAACUUUGUAAUUACUGAAGAACAUGUGCUCCAUGACAGGUGACACAACCGGAAAAGAAAUCUCCAGUGAAGUGAUAAAGUGCAUGAAUGAUAAGUCGGGAUUAGAUUUCACAAACUGGAUGGCCAUUUGUACUGAUGGUGCUGCAGCUAUGUUACUCUUCUUGAAGGAGCAGUUACUCUUCUUGAAGAAUUUAUUGGGAGACAAAUAACCAAACUUCACUGCAUUCUACAUCAGCAGGUUUUGCGUAGCAAAGUUUUAAAAUUUGAGCAUAUAAUGUCAGUGGUAGUUUCCAUUGUAAACUACAUACGUUCUAGAGGACUAAAACAUAGGACAUUUCGAGCCUUUCUUGAAGGCGUAGAUGCCAAGUGCAGCGACUUAAUCUACAACACGGAAGUGAGGUGGUUGAGUCAAGGAAGAGUGCGCCAGUGUUUCAUUGCUUUGAAAGAGGAGGUAGCAAAAUUCCUAGAAAAUGGGCCAAUAAAAUUCCCAGAGCUUGAAAAUGAGUCCUGGAAUCAAGAUCUUUUUGUUUUGUGAUAUUACUGCACACCUGAAUGAUCUCAACAUUCAACUUCAGGGGAAAAAUCAAUGUAUAUUUCAAAUGUGUGCAGCGGUGAAAGCUUUCAAAAUGGAAUUGAAACUUUUCAGAAGUCAGCUGUCAAAAGGCGAAAUGACAGGUUUCAGAGUAACAGCCGUGUUAGUCUGUAUUCGCAAAAAGAAAAGGAGUACUUGUGGCACCUUAGAGACUAACCAAUUUAUUUGAGCAUGAGCUUUUGUGAGCUACAGCUCACUUCAUCGGAUGCAUACCGUGGAAACUGCAGCAGACAUUUUCCCACUUGUGCAAAGCGUAUCCCUCAGCACAAACACGCCGAGUUAGAAGAAAAAUAUGCAAAGCACAUUAAUCUUUUGAUUGAAGAAUUUGAGAGAAGACUUACUUUGUCUAAAGAAGAAGACGUCCAGUUGAAGCUGAUUGAAUAUCCCUUUUCUGUGGAUCCAGAGGAAGUGCCACUAGAUUUGCAGUUGAAGGUUAUUGAACUUCAAUGUUCGGCAGUUUACCGAAAUAAGCACAGAGAAAGCAGCCUGUGGGACGUCUACAAAAGUCUGGACAAUGAAAAAUACAAGAAUCUUAUCGAAGUUGCACUGAAAACGUUCAGCAUUUUUGGAAACACUUACAUAUGUGAACAAACAUUUUCCAUCAUGAACAUGAAUAAAAACAAGCAACGUUCUUCUUUGAGUGAGGACCAUUUGGAAGACAUUAUGAAAAUAUCUACUUCAAAUAUGACCCCCGAAUAUGACAAGCUUGUUGCCGAAAAGAGAUGUAAUAUCUCUCAUUAAACUUGCAAGGUAAUUAUGAAAAGUACAAAUGUUUUCUUUCAAUGGAACAGGUGUUUUUCAUUUUUCCAUGAUUCAUAAAAAAAAAUAAAAUUAAAAAAAUUGUUUGCUUUAA
Caretta caretta (loggerhead turtle) is the source of this 2257-nucleotide long non-coding RNA. RefSeq lists it as uncharacterized. The record is from RefSeq and is a predicted model, not a curated record. NCBI's taxonomy places the organism in Eukaryota, Metazoa, Chordata, Testudines, Cheloniidae.